GAAGUGAGCAAGGGAGGUCAUUCGCAAUUCUGUCACUCCUAAAUUUGUCUGAACCUUUUUGGAAGGCAUUUGUAUUUCCUGCCAGCACCACCUCUUGGGGGUGAUGAAUUCCAAUAAGUUUCAAUCCGUUUAUUACUCACUGUGAGAGAAAUUGCUUCCUUUUAUGUCUGGAACUAAACCUGGAUCACAUUUCACAGGAUAUCCCCUAGUCACAGAGUUUUGGAAUCUGACCUGGAGGCAAAGGUAUGGAUGAGAUCACAUAGCAAGGAGAUUGCUGCUGAGAAGGAGUCAAAGCCUGGGUUUUACUUGUGGCCUUGCUGCUACACCAACUUUACUGACAUGCCAUUCUGGGAUAGUCUUUUCUCUCUGAGGCUUCAAGAGAAGAUGAGAAUACAUUCCAUCCCUACCUCUUGGAGUCAUUGUGAGGACUCAGAUGAAGUGCAGCAUCACGCAACAGAACUCAGAUGCCCUCACUGCAUCUCAAAUGCACUCAGCAGGCUGCCAUGCUGUGAGCUGCCCUAUGGAGAAGUCCACAUGGCAAGGAACUGAGGGAUACCUUCAGCCAACAGCCAAUGAGGAACUGAUGCUCCCAGAGAACAGCCUGUAGGAAACUAAUUCCUGCUAACAACCUUCAGAUGACUGCAGGUCUGGCUGGCAACUCAACUGAAGCCUGAGAGAGAUCCUGAAGCAGCGGGUGCAGCUAAGCCUCUGCUGGAUUCCCAUUAGACAGAAACUCAUCACCAGUUUUCCAUGAGAGCACCAAGCCUGUGAUUUCAGUAGAAGCUUAACUGCUCGUCUUUGAGGCACCAAAUCUGAAAAGCGAUCUUCCUGAAGACCAUGCUAAGGCAAGAACAUCCAUAUAAGGGAGAAUUCCUGAAAGUGUUCUAACACUUCAGUGGAAACUCAUCAAUGCUCUGUACCCAGAAUAAUCCCAUUUCGGAGGGUGCAUGGAUGGGGCAGAUGCAUGAUGUGCCCUGAGGAGCAGAGGAAACAUGGGCUUGGGUUGUGAAGGAUCUCAGAGAAGCUCUCCUGGACUGGCCCAAAUGUCUCAAACUUUAAUGUGCACAUAAAUCUAUUAAAAUGCAGCUUCCACUUCAACACAUCUGGAGUGAGACCAGGUAUUCUGCAUUUUUAACAAACUCUGGUGUAUGCUGGCGGAUGUCUGGAGUGCUGCUGGUCCAUGGACCGCAUGUUGAGUAGCAAGGCCCUGGAGGAAAUCUUGUCCAAGGUUGCAAAUUCAAAUGUCUUGGGGACCAGGUAGGCAAUGAAGAAUGACAGAGAUGGGAGUAAGACAAUUUGGAAUGGCAGAACCUGUGAGGAAAUGGAGGACAAGCAAGUCCAUUAAAGGUAUCCAAAAGCAUUGGAAGAAAGAGAGGAGAGAGAAAGAGAGGGAGGGAGCAGGCGGAGAAGGGAGGCUUUUUUCUGCAAUGCUGCAGAAAAGCCUUUUAGCCUAGAGGGAUGGAGCCCUGGGUUAGACUUCAUGUUGGGGGUUCUUUGGUCCUGCUCUAGCCAGGCAUCUGGGACCCUAUGUAUUGUCCUGUGUUCCGUCACUUUAACCCUGCCUGAAGUCCCUGAGUCUUGUCCUUGGGGUCCAGAGGGCUUCAGUUUUUAGUUAUUUAGACUAUUGAUACUUACAUUGGGUUUAUCAUUUGGUGAGUCCCCACUCUGUGACAUGGACUACACUCAGGUGUUCAUAGGAAUGAUUUCAUUUCAUCCUCACAACAAUAGUAGAUCGUCUUACUAUGCCCAUUUUACAGAUGAGGAAACUGAGACAUGGAAAGGAUAGGCAAUUUGUUCAAAGUCUCAUAGACAGAGCCAGGGCUGAAAUCCUGUGUCUCUAACUCUAAAUCAUGCCUGUGUCACCAUGAAAGUCUGCUUCCCCUUAAUUCUCACCCAUGAGACCGGCAAGUGCCACAAUGCUGUGUCUGUCCUCCUUGUAGUCCCAGUGUGUGGUGCAGUGCCUGGUGCUAAAUAUUUGUUAACGUUGCAUGAGUCUUAUUUCAUAUUGGUGGCUUCCUUCUCCAAGAGUGACUCCCAACAUCUUGCAAAAGGCAGGUCUUUGUGAGAAAAGAUGUUUCAUUUCCCAAGAUCAGUCCCCUCAACAUAUGCUGCUGCGUAGAGUUCCCAGAAGGGCGAGGGCUUGCAGAGCGAGGCUCCUGCCCACCACCUUCUCUCAUGUUUGCAUUUUGAGCAUAAGAUUCACAAAGUACAGUCCAACUGCUUCACAUUAUUUUUUUCUGCUCAGAAUAAUAACCCUCUCGAUUAUGUUAUUCUUUUUUAUUAUUUAUUGUGUGCCCUGGGGAAUUUUCAUUUUAACCAAGACAUUGGUUCAAUUGCAAACUGGCAAAGAAUGAUUUGUAAGGAGAUCAGUGUUGGGAGCUUAUUAAAACAUGUAUUUAGGGGAUGGUUUGGAAAUAGGAAAAGGAAAUCUCUCAGGAGAGGAGAUAUUUUCCAGAGUUGAAAAGAAAUUAUGGAAUAUGAGGGAGGGAAAAGAAGAGGACAGGGGAGGAA
This 2511-nucleotide long non-coding RNA is filed under the name Homo sapiens (human). Its description in RNAcentral is "HSALNT0314844". Lineage: Eukaryota; Metazoa; Chordata; Mammalia; Primates; Hominidae. The record is from RNAcentral.